RNAcentral lists this ribosomal RNA (232 nucleotides) under uncultured bacterium. Its description in RNAcentral is "partial 16S ribosomal RNA". It matches the Rfam family "Bacterial small subunit ribosomal RNA", at positions 118 to 347 of the family's 1533-position model. The record is from RNAcentral.
UGGGCAACCUGCCCCUCUCUCUGGGAUAACCCCGGGGAAAACCGGAGCUAAUACCGGAUACUCCGGCUGGAUCGCAUGGUCCGGCCGGGAAAGGUCCGCCGGAGAGGGAUGGGCCCGCGGCCUAUCAGCUUGUUGGUGGGGUCAUGGCUCACCAAGGCGACGACGGGUAGCUGGUCUGAGAGGACACCAGCCACACUGGAACUGAGAUACGGUCCAGACUCCUACGGGAGCA